GCUCACAUGAAGAGAGUGAAGUGAGGAGUUUCCUGCAGUGUCUGCCUUAUAUCUCACAGCUCAGCUUUGUCACUCAGACAUCAGAACCUUCAGAAGAAACCAGGUUCUUCAGAAAUCUGUUCUGUGCAGCAGCAAAGAGAGAACAGCAGACAGGAGAGAAGAUACUGGAGCUGUUAGCAUCAGUGUGCACAUAUCAAACAUUCAUUCUUAGACAGAAAUGGUGUGAUUUCCUGAUGGACCUGUACUCUUAUGAGACUAAAACAGGCUUGAGUGUCCUUCCAUCGCUACAGUCAGUUUUCCAGUCAGCUCCUGCAGUCUGGUCUAUAAACCUCUCAGAGAGAAAGACCUCCAUCCUCCUGGAAGUGCUGAAACUCCAACCAGAGAAGAAGCAUUUGCAUCUGACUGGCUGCUCACAUGAAGAGAGUGAAGUUAGGAAACUGCUUCAGUGUCUGCCUUAUAUCUCACAGCUCAGUUUUGUGACACUUUUAUCAAAACCUUCAGAAGAAAUUAGGUUCUUUGGGAAUCUGUUCUGUGCAGCAGCAGAGAGGCAAGAGCAGACAGGAGAGAAGAUACUGGAGCUGUUAUCAUCAGUGUGCAGAUAUAAAAACUUUCCUCUGAGGGAGACAUGGUGUGACUUCCUCAUAGACCUUUACUAUUAUAGGACUAAAACAGGCUUGAGUGUCCUUCCAUCAUUAAAGUCAGUUUUCCAGUCAACUCCACCAGUCUGGUUCAUAAACCUCUCAGAGAGAAAGACCUCCAUCCUCCUGGAAGUGCUGAAACUCCAACCAGAGAAGAAACAAGUUGUGCUGACAGGCUGCUCACAUGAAGAGAGUGAAGUGAGGAGUUUCCUGCA
Oreochromis aureus is the source of this 853-nucleotide long non-coding RNA. RefSeq lists it as uncharacterized. NCBI's taxonomy places the organism in Eukaryota, Metazoa, Chordata, Actinopteri, Cichliformes, Cichlidae. The record is from RefSeq and is a predicted model, not a curated record. The transcript is spliced from 3 exons.